AUGGGAUCCAGGAGGGAGCAUCCCAACGGCGACAGCGGCGGUCAGGGGUCCGGCAGUGUCCCCUCGGGGGGCCGGGGGUGGCGGUGUCCCCUCGGGGGGGUCCGGCAGUGUCCCCUCGGGGGGCCGGGGGUGGCGGUGUCCCCUCGGGGGGUCCGGCAGUGUCCCCUCGGUGGGGUCCGGCAGUGUCCCCUCGGAGGGUCUGGCAGUGUCCCCUCGGUGGGGAUGGCGGUGGCAGUGUCCCCUCGGGGGGUCCGGCAGUGUCCCCUCGGUGGUCGAGGGGUGGCAAUGUCCCCUCGGUGGGGAUGGCGGUGUCCCCUCGGUGGGGAUGGCAGUGUCCCCUCGGUGGGGUCCGGCAGUGUCCCCUCGGGGGUGUCCGGCAGUGUCCCCUCGGUGGGGAUGGUGGUGGCAGUGUCCCCUCGGGGGGUCCGGCAGUGUCCCCUCGGUGGGGAUGGCAGUGACAGUGUCCCCUCGGUGGGGAUGGCAGUGUCCCCUCGGUGGGGAUGGCGGUGGCAGUGUCCCCUCGGUGGGGAUGGUGGUGGCAGUGUCCCCUCGGUGGGGAUGGCGGUGGCAGUGUCCCCUCGGUGGGGAUGGCAGUGUCCCCUCGGUGGGGAUGGUGGUGGCAGUGUCCCCUCGGUGGGGAUGGCGGUGGCAGUGUCCCCUCGGUGGGGAUGGCAGUGUCCCCUCGGUGGGGAUGGCAGUGGCAGUGUCCCCUCGGUGGGGAUGGCAGUGUCCCCUCGGUGGGGAUGGCAGUGUCCCCUCGGUGGGGAUGGUGGUGGCAGUGUCCCCUCGGUGGGGAUGGCGGUGGCAGUGUCCCCUCGGUGGGGAUGGUGGUGGCAGUGUCCCCUCGGUGGGGAUGGCAGUGUCCCCUCGGUGGGGAUGGUGGUGGCAGUGUCCCCUCGGUGGGGAUGGCAGUGUCCCCUCGGUGGGGAUGGCAGUGGCAGUGUCCCCUCGGUGGGGAUGGCGGUGGCAGUGUCCCCUCGGUGGGGAUGGCAGUGUCCCCUCGGUGGGGAUGGCGGUGGCAGUGUCCCCUCGGUGGGGAUGGCGGUGGCAGUGUCCCCUCGGGGGGGUGACUCACUGUUAUUUGCAGCUCAGGAAAAGGAAGCGGCGGUAGCUGAGCGUGGCUCCGGCAGCGACACCGGCCGGGUCACCGCAGACACUUCCCUGUCCCCAAGGGACGCGGCGCAGCCAGGGCAGGAAACAGCCACCGGCCCGGGGUCAGAGCCCGGCGGGGCCCCACGGCUCGGCCCCCCCCGGGCAUCCUGCGGGGCUGGGAGCGGGGUCGGGCACAGCCGGUGCCCUCUCCGCGGGAUGGGGACAAGGUGA
This 1323-nucleotide long non-coding RNA is filed under the name Corvus moneduloides (New Caledonian crow). Its description in RNAcentral is "lncRNA (ENSCMUG00000020132.1)". Lineage: Eukaryota; Metazoa; Chordata; Aves; Passeriformes; Corvidae. The record is from RNAcentral.